Molecule: long non-coding RNA, 1452 nt
Organism: Ornithodoros turicata
Lineage: Eukaryota; Metazoa; Arthropoda; Arachnida; Ixodida; Argasidae
Exons: 4
Source: RefSeq, a predicted model, not a curated record
GGCGAAAAAAUGAACUGGGAAGUCAACUGGUACCAGUUCGUUCCCAGUUGCCUCCAACUGGUCAUGAACUGGAACCAAGUGGGAUCAAACUGGCGGCAACUGGAAACUAAAGUGGUACCAGUUCAAGCUGGGCUGGUGGCAACUGGAAAGUGAAGUGGUACCAGUUCAAGCUGGGCUGGUGGCAACUGGACAUGAACUGGUACCAGUUCAAACUGGGCUGGUGGCAAGUGGACAUGAGCUGGUACCAGUUCAAGCUGGGCAGGUGGCAACUGGCAAGUGAAGUGGUACCAGUUCAAACUGGGCUGGUGGCAACUGGACAUGAACUGGUACCAGUUCAAACUGGGCUGGAGGCAACUGGACAUGACCUGGUACCAGUUGAAGGUGGGGGUGGCAACUGGAAAGUGAAGUGGUGCGCCAGUUCAAACUGGGCUGGUGGCAACUGGACAUGAACUGGUACCAGUUCAAACUGGGCUGGAGGCAACUGGACAUGACCUGGUACCAGUUGAAGGUGGGGGUCGCAACUGGAAAGUGAAGUGGUGCGCCAGUUCAAACUGGGCUGGUGGCAACUGGACAUAAACUGGUACCAGUUCAAACUGGGCUGGAGGCAACUGGACAUGACCUGGUACCAGUUCAAGCUGGGCAGGUGGCAACUGGAAAGUGAAGUGGUGCCAGUUCAAGCUCGACCAGCUGACAUGUUUGGGAGAAGUUUCGGUUUGGGGGUUCCGGGAUAGGUUUGCAAUAACAUAUAUGAAGAUUACGAAAGAAAGGUUGGGGGGACGAUCGGAAAGCAACUUUAUAGUAAAAAAAUCAUAUUUCUAUUUUUUUUUUGAAGGUGCGCUAAUGUUAACAAAAGCUAAUUUGGAAUUAUUAUGUUUGCAUAUUUUGCGCGUUCCUGCUCCCCUGAUGAAUGACGCGUUUGAACAAGAUGUAACGGUCGCUUGCUGCUUCAAGAUGCAGCGUUCGCGCUUGUCUGCCGUGUUUUGACUUUUCGCGUUCGUCUCAGCAUGUCCCAAGUGACAUUUUUGCUCUUAAUGUUAUUAGCGUGACAUGCGACAAUAUAAAUUACAGUGAGCGUCAUCGGCUUCAGUACGACCAGACAGGUGUCAUGCGAUUGCGGCUCUGUUGCAGCUGCGAAGACUGCUUCAUCAUCCUUCACACGGAAAACACGGGUUGCUCUAGAAUCCGCAUAGCUCACCAGAGUACGCGUGGCGUGGAUCGGAAAAGCAUGACGACUGCGAAGCAAUAUGUCGGACUCCACAAGCGCCUUCUGUAACGGGGGAUACACAGGAAAGCUCUAUACGUAGAAAACCAACUGAUGACAUGACUUCCACGGCUGCCCGGAAUGCUUCCUGUUUUCCUCAACCGUUUCUGUAAAGUCAGUGAGAAACUGCAUCGUGAAAUACAAAAUGUCUGUUUCAGAAGUGCACAAUAAAAUAAUUCAUGUUUAUUUCA